GGGUGAAUGUGAUUCUCCCAUCUCAGCUUCCUGAGUAGCUGUUGUGUGCUGUUGGCAAUGCCAUAGUGCUAAGCCCAAGAGGGGUGUGCAGGCCAUGACGCACAGUGCGGCCAUCUAUGUGUCAGAGACCAGGAGUGAGUGGGUCGGAGGACCAGAGCAAACAGUCACCCAGCAAUCUUUUUAGAGUCGAUGUAUGAGCAACAUUUAUGGAAACGAAACAUCCCUGUAGGCUGCCAUCAGUUGUACAAGCAAGGAGUGAGAACGUCUCUGCUGAGUCUUGGGGGACCUCCACACAAAUGGAAAAACAUUACGACUUUAUUCUUAUAUAAAAUUUGACAUUUUGGA
Long non-coding RNA from Mus musculus (house mouse), 345 nucleotides. RefSeq annotates it as predicted gene, 40390. The transcript has 2 exons. Lineage: Eukaryota; Metazoa; Chordata; Mammalia; Rodentia; Muridae. The record is from RefSeq and is a predicted model, not a curated record.